Molecule: long non-coding RNA, 141 nt
Filed under: Mustela putorius furo (domestic ferret)
Lineage: Eukaryota; Metazoa; Chordata; Mammalia; Carnivora; Mustelidae
Description: lncRNA (ENSMPUG00000031876.1)
Source: RNAcentral
UUCCCGCCAAGCAGGGAGCCCAAUGCCGGCCUUAAUCCUAGGACCUUGGGAUCAUGACCCAAGCCGAAGGUAAAACAGUCUGAUGAUAACGACCGCAUUGCAGCAGAAACUUCAGAAUUAUUUAACCUGCUUGAAAAUAUC